This 351-nucleotide ribosomal RNA is filed under the name uncultured bacterium. RNAcentral describes it as "partial 16S ribosomal RNA". It matches the Rfam family "Bacterial small subunit ribosomal RNA", at positions 338 to 706 of the family's 1533-position model. The record is from RNAcentral.
CCUACGGGAGGCAGCAGUGGGGGAUAUUGCACAAUGGGGGGAACCCUGAUGCAGCGACGCCGCGUGGGUGAAGAAGCGCCUCGGCGCGUAAAGCCCUGUCAGCAGGGAAGAAAAUGCCGGUACCUGAAGAAGAAGCCCCGGCUAACUACGGGCCAGCGGCCGCGGUAAUACGUAGGGGGCAAGCGUUAUCCGGAUUUACUGGUUGUAAAGGGGGGGCAGACGGCGAUGCAAGCCAGGAGUGAAAGCCCGGGGCCAAACCCCGGGACUGCUCUUGGAACUGCGUGGCUGGGGUGCAGGAGGGGCAGGCGGAAGUCCGGUGGUAGCGGUGAAAUGCGUAGAUAUCAGGAGGAA